RNAcentral lists this transfer RNA (75 nucleotides) under Patescibacteria group bacterium. RNAcentral describes it as "tRNA-Val". It matches the Rfam family "tRNA". From Rfam's summary of the family: Transfer RNA (tRNA) molecules are approximately 80 nucleotides in length. Their secondary structure includes four short double-helical elements and three loops (D, anti-codon, and T loops). The record is from RNAcentral.
GGGCGGUUAGCUCAGUUGGUUUAGAGCAUUCGCUUGACGUGCGAAAGGUCACAAGUUCGAAUCUUGUACCGCCCA